CAUACUUCUGCCUAAGUUAAAGGCCCUAUUUAUAGAAUAUAGGCAGCCCUUAAACUUGACAGCACAUGACACUUGUCGUCUACAACUUUUGCCACUUGUCGGGCUAACAUUAAAUCUUGCUCCUAACAUGUAGUUGACAUCCCCAACUACUUAGGACACAUUAUACACGAAAUGGGGUCAUUAUACAAGCAAUAAUCAGAUCAUGGAAUAAUGGGAGAUCAUUGGAGAUCAUGGCUAAAAACAAGGUAACCACCAACCGCUUUCCAUGUGCAUUGCACGUGCCAUUUCCUUGGCCAGCUGAAUUUCGCCCCAAGGUUGCCUUGCGCCAUGCAUUUGCUCAAUUUGACAUUGCCCGAUGCCAAUGUCUUGCCCGCGAUCCGCUUUCAUGAUUUUGUCGCACAAGCACGCGCCGCUGCUGCCCGCACACAGCCUUGGCCUAGUUUUCUGCCUUGUCCGUUCCAGCCCUCAUUUAACUCGUGCCAUUGUUGUAUUUUCUUUCCCAUAGACUUAUCUUAGCUAUUGAAAGCCUUUGCCAUCAACCCACAUUUUCGCCUCGCCUUAGCUUAGCCCGCACAUAGCUUCCACAACCCAAAAGUGCCAUGCCACUGAUUUUGGCGCGCAUGCCGUGCCAUGCCACCCAAACAUUGCCCAUGCUGCCUCGUCAAGCAUUUUCCAAGCGCGCCUUGCCCAUGUGAAGGCCUUGGCCAAUACUUCCCCACAACAGCCCGUCGAUCGCACGAUCGUUUUGCCCGCACAUAAGCCAAUGACAAGGCCAUCAAGCCCAAAUCCUUGCCACAGCCGUGCCACGCCCGAUGACAAAGAGUCAAGUCCUAAUAAACCACCCGCACCCUUUGAAUCGACAUCCUUGUCAGGCCGUCUUCAAUGAAUAAGCACCAAGGGUUUGUUCACAUACAAUGACCCUUGUACUCCAUUCAUAUCCCAAUGAUUUUCCAGUAUAUUGGCACCUCUCGCACCCUGAUUUUCCUUUGGCUCCGAAAUCCUCUAGCGCAUUCAUCACCUCUAGGGACAUAAGUUUGCCAGGCCCUUCAAAGUUGAACCACUUCCUUUCGUAACUCUUCCUUCUCUAUACGCGCAAAGGCCAUUUCUUCCUCCAAACGUGCCAUUCAUCAUGAACAACAGAAUCACAAUCUACUUCAAGAUCCUGCCCAAUGAUUGCUUCCAAUUGCUCAACCUUUUGACGCAAUCCGCGUUUGCGCCACCAGCCUUGUUCUUCCCCACGAAUUCUACCACCGGAUCGUCUUGCCACUGCCACGAACCUUCUCUCCUCUGAUACCAGUUAUCACGGGGGAGUAUUUGAUCAAGUCCAAAACCACACCCGCGCAGCAGUCAAGUCCCCCGCUUGACUCAGCCUUUCCGAAACACAUUGCCAAUUUCAACAAGUUUGGCCUUAAACGAAAUUUAGGCAACAAAACAGAAAUUUAAAGAACACAAGCAUAUACAGGAAAAUCCCAACCUUUGCAUUAAUUCUGAAAAUAUACAAAGGACCCUCACUUUGCUAUGAACUAUCAGUCCGCUCAGAGCCCCUUUUGGCAAAGAACACAAGUCGUUCUUAGCCAAUACUAAGGUCUGCCCAAGCCAAACCUUAGCCCCUUUUGAAACACUUAGAAACCCUCACAUUUGUUUCUUGUUUCUCACAUAGAAUUCUACACGAAAUUCUCUCUUACUUGCUAUGAACACAUUCCGGUCACAGCCCACUUUUGGCAAAGAGCACAAGUCGUUCUUAGCCAACACGAAGGUCUGCCCAAGCCAAACCUUAGCCCCUUUUGAAACACUUAGAAACCAUCACAUUUCUUUCUUGUUUCCCACAUAGAAUUCUACACGAAAUUCUACAUACUUCUGCCUAAGUUAAAGACCUAUUUAUAGAAUAUAUGCAGCCCUUAAACUUGACAGCACAUGACAAUACAUGAAAUUCUACAUACUUCUGCCUAAGUUAAAGGCCCUAUUUAUAGAAUAUAGGCAACCCUUAAACUUGACAACACAUGACACUUGUCGUCUACAACUUUUGCCACUUGUCGGGCUAACUUUAAAUCUUUCUCCUAACAUGUAGUUGACAUCCCCAACUACUUAGGACACAAUAUACACGAAAUUGGGUAAUUAUACAAGCAAUAAUCAGAUCAUGGGAUAAUGGGAGAUCAUGGGACAUCAUGGCUAAAAACAAGGUAACCGCCAACUGCUUUCCAUGUGCAUUGCAUGUGGCAUUUCCUUGGCCAGCUAAAUUUCGCCCCAAGGCUGCCUUGUGCCAUGCCUUAGCUCAAUUUGACAUUGCCCCAUGCCAAUGUCUUGCCCGCAAUCCGCUGCCAUGAUUUUGCCGCACACGCCCGGCGCCGCUGCCGCCCGAACACUUCCUUGGCUUAGUUUUCUGCCUUGUCCGUGCUAACCCGCAUUUACCUCGUGCCGUUGCUUGUAUUUUCCUUCCAAUAGCCUUGUCUUAGCAAUUGAAAGCCUUUGCCAUCAACCUGCAUUUCCGCCUCGCCUCAGCUUAGCCCACACAUAGCUGCCACAGCCCAAAAGUGCCAUGCCACUGAUUUUGGCGCGCAUGCCGUGCCAUGCCGCCCAAACAUUGCCCAUGCUGCCUCGUUAAGCCUUUUCUAAGCGCUCCUUGCCCAUGCCAAGGCCUUGGCCAAUACUUUCCCAUAACAGCUGGUCGACCGCAUGAUAGUUUUGCCCGCACAUAAGCCAAUGACAAGGCCAUCACGCCCAAAUCCUUGCCACAGCCGUGCCACACCCGAUGACAAAAAAUCAGGUCCUAACAAACCACCUGCACCCUUUGAAAUCGACGUCCUCGUCGAGCCGUCUUCAAUGCAUCAGCACCAAGGGUUUGUUCACAUACAACGCCCCUUGUACUCCAUUCAUAUCCCACUGAUUUUCUAGUACAUUGGCACCUCUCGCACCCUGAUCUGCCUUUGGCUCUGAAAUCCUCGACUUAGUUCGUUCAUCACCUCUAGAGGAAACAAUUUGCCAUGCCCUUCGAAGUUUAACCACUUCCUUGCGUAAAUCUUCCUUGUCUAUGCGCACCAAGGCCAUUUCUGCCUCCAAACGUGCCAUCUAGACAAGAACAAAAGAAUCACAAUCUACAUCAAGAGCCUGCCUAACGAGUGCUUCCAACUACUCAACUUUUUGACGCAGUUCCGCGUUUGUUCCACCAGCCUUGUUCUUCCCUACGAAAUCUGCCACCGAAUCGUCUUGCCACUGCCAUGAACCUUCUCUGCUCUGAUACCAGUUGUCACGGGGGAGUUUUUGAUCAAGUCCAAAACCACACCCGCACGGCACUCAAGUCCCCCGCUUGACUCAGCCUUUCCGAAACACUUUGCCAAUUUUCAACAAGUUUUGGCCUUAAACGAAAUUUAGGCAACAAAACAGAAAUUUAAAGAACACAAGUAUAUACGGGAAAAUCCCAACCUUUGCAUCAAUUCUAAAAAUAUACAAAGGACCCUCAUUUUGCUAUGAACUAUCAGUCUGCUCAGAGCCCCCUUUUGGCAAAGAACACAAGUCGUUCUUAGCUAAUACUAAGGUCUGCCCAAGCCAAACCUUAGCCCUUUUUGAAACACUUAGAAACCCUCACAUUUAUUUCCUGUUUCCCACAUAGAAUUCUACACGAAAUUAUCUCUUACUUGCUAUGAACACAUUCCGCUCACAUCCCACUUUUGGCAAAAAACACAAGUCGUUCUUAGCCAACACUAAGGUCUGCCCAAGACAAACCUUAGCCCCUUUUGAAACAAUUAGAAACCAUCACGUUUCUUUCUUGUUUCCCACAUAGAAUUCUACACGAAAUUCUACAUACUUCUGCCAGAGCUUAGAAACCAUCACGUUUCUUUCUUGUUUUCCACAUAGAAUUCUACACGAAAUUCUACAUACUUCCGCCUAAGUUAAAGGCUCUAUUUAUAGAAUAUAGGCAUCCCUUAAACUUGACAGCAUAUGACACUUGCCGUUUAAGACUUUUGACACUUGUCGGGCUAACUUUAAAUCUUGCUCCUACAUGUAGUUGACAUCCCCAACUACUUAGGACAUAUUAUAUAUGAAAUGAGGUCAUUAUACAAGCAAUAAUCAGAUCAUGGGAUAAUGGGAGAUCAUGGGAGAUCAUGGCUAAAAACAAGGUAACUGCCAACCGCUUUUCAUGUGCAUGGCAUGUGCUAUUUCCUUGGCCAGCUGAAUUUCGCCCCAAGACUGCCUUGUGCCAUGCCUUAGCUCAAUUUGACAUUGCCCCAUGCCAAUGUCUUGUCCGCAAUUCGCUGCCAUGAUUUUUUUGUGCCAUUUCCUUGGCAAGUUGAAUUUCGCCCCAAGGCUGCCUUGUACCAUGCCUUAGCUCAAUUUGACGUUGCCCCAUGCCAAUGUCUUGCCCGCAAUCCGCUGCCAUGAUUUUGCCGCACACGCCCGGUGCCGCUGCCGCCCCUACACCGCCUUGGCCUAGUUUUCUGCCUUGUCCGUGCCAACCCUCAUUUCUCCCGUGCCAUUGCUUGUAUUGUCUUUCCCAUAGCCUUGUUCUAGCUAUUGAAAGCCUUUGCCAUCAACCCGCAUUUUUGUCUCGCCUUAGCUUAGCCCGUAUAUAGCUGCCACAACCCAAAAGUUCCAUGCCACUAAUUUUGGCGCGCAUGCCGUGCCAUGCCGCGUAAACAUUGCCCAUGCUGCCUCGUCAAGCCUCUUCCUAGCGCGCCUUGCCCAUGCCAAGGCCUUGGCCAAUACUUUCCCACAACAGCCCGUCGACCGCAUGAUCGUUUUGCCCGCACAUAUGCCAAUACAAGGCAAUCACGCCCAAAUCGUUGCCACAGCCGUGCCACGCCCGAUGACAAAGAGUCACGUCCUAACAAACCACCCGCACCCUUUGAAAUCGACGUCCUCGUCGAGCCGUCUUUAAUGAAUCAGCACCAAGGGUUUUUCACAUACAAUGCCCCUUGUACUCCUUUCAUAUCCCUGUGAAUUUCCAGUAUAUUGGCACCUCUCGCACCCUGAUCUACCUUUGGCUCCGAAAUCCUCGACUUAGUGCGUUCAUCACCUCUAGGGGCUGCAGUUUUCCAUGCCCUUCGAAGUUGAACCACUUCCUUGCGUAACUCUUCUUUCUCUAUGCGCACCGAGGCCAUUUCUUCCUCCAAACGUGCCAUUCCAACAAGAACAAAAGAAUCACAAUCUAUAUCAAGAGCCUGCCCAUCAAGUUCUUCCAACUGCUCAACGUUUUGACAUAAUUCCGCGUUUGUGCCACCAGCCUUGUUCUUCCCCACGAAUUCUUGUCACCGGAUCGUCUUGCCACUACUACGAACCUGCUCCGAUUUGAUACCAGUUGUCACGGGGGAGUUUUUGAUCAAGUCAGAAACCACACCCGCGCGGCAGUCAAGUCUCCCGCUUGACUCAGCCUUUCCGAAACACUUUGCCAAUUUUCAACUAGUUUGGCCUUAAACGAAAUUUAUGCAACGAAACAGAAAUUUAAAGAACACAAGUAUAUACGGGAAAAUCCUAACCUUUGCAUUAAGUUUGAAAAUAUACAAAGGACCCUCACUUUGCUAUGAACUAUCAGUCCGCUCACAGCCCCAUUUAGCAAAGAACACAAGUCGUUCUUAGCCAACACUAAGGUUUGCCCAAGCUAAACCUUAGCCCCUUUUGAAACACUUAGAAACCCUCACAUUUCUUUCUUGAUUCCCACAUUGAAUUCUACACGAAAUUCUCUCUUACUGCUAUGAACACAUUCCGCUCACAACCCACUUUUGGCAAAGAACACAAGUCAUUCUUAGCCAACACUAAGGUUUGCCGAAGCCAAACCUUAGCCCUUUUUGAAACACUUAGAAACCAUCACAUUUCUUUCAUGUUUCCCACAUAGAAUUUAACACGAAAUUCUACAUACUUCUGCCUAAGUUAAAGGCCUUAUUUAUAGAAUAUAGGUAUCCCUUAAACUUGACAGCACAUGACACUUGUCGUUUACACCUUUUGCCACUUGUCGGGCUAACUUUAAAUCUUGCUCCUAACAUGUAGUUGACAUCCCCAACUACUUAUGACACAUUAUACACGAAAUGGGGUCAUUAUACAAGCAAUAAUCAGAUCAUGGG
Molecule: long non-coding RNA, 6053 nt
Filed under: Nicotiana benthamiana
Lineage: Eukaryota; Viridiplantae; Streptophyta; Magnoliopsida; Solanales; Solanaceae
Description: long non-coding RNA (NBEN_LNC024968)
Source: RNAcentral